This 494-nucleotide ribosomal RNA is filed under the name uncultured bacterium. RNAcentral's name for it is "partial 16S ribosomal RNA". It matches the Rfam family "Bacterial small subunit ribosomal RNA", at positions 28 to 507 of the family's 1533-position model. The record is from RNAcentral.
GACGAACGCUGGCGGCGUGCUUAACACAUGCAAGUCGAACGGAAAGGCCUGCUUUCCCUUGUGGAUUGCGGGUACUCGAGUGGCGAACGGGUGAGUAACACGUGAGUGAUCUGCCCCCAACUUGGGUAUAAGCCUGGGAAACUGGGUCUAAUUCCCGAUAGGACUGCAGGGUGGUGCCUGUGGUGGAAAACGAUUUUCUAGUGGUUGGGGAUGAGCUCGCGGCCUAUCAGCUUGUUGGUGGGGUAAUGGCCUACCAAGGCGGCGACGGGUAGCCGGCCUGAGAGGGUGGACGGCCACAUUGGGACUGAGAUACGGCCCAGACUCCUACGGGAGGCAGCAGUGGGGAAUAUUGCACAAUGGGCGGAAGCCUGAGGCAGCGACGCCGCGGGGGGGAUGACGGCCUUCGGGUGGUAAACUCCUUUCGACCGCGAGGAAGCCACCUGGUUGGAAGGGUGGUGACGGUAGUGGUAGAAGAAGCACCGGCUAACUACGUG